AGUGAACGCUGGCGGUAUGCCUAACACAUGCAAGUCGAACGGCCGCACAGUAAGCGCUUGCUCUUACGGGUGGCGAGUGGCGGACGGGUGAGGAAUACAUCGGCAUCUACUUUUUCGUGGGGGAUUACGUAGGGAAACUUACGCUACUACCGCAUAUGUCCUACGGGUGAAAGCAGGGGAUCUUCGCACCUUGCGCGUUUGAUUGAGCCGAUGUCGGAUUAGCUAGUUGGCGGGGUAAAGGCCCACCAAGGCGACGAUCCGUAGCUGGUCUGAGAGGAUGAUCGGCCACACUGGAACUGAGACACGGUCCAGACUCCUACGGGAGGCAGCAGUGGGGAAUAUUGGACAAUGGGCGCAAGCCUGAUCCAGCAAUACCGCGUGAGUGAAGAAGGCCUUCGGGUUGUAAAGCCCUUUUGUUGGGAAAGAAAAGCAGCAGGUUAAUACCCCGCUGUUCUGACGGUACCCAAAGAAUAAGCACCGGCUAACUUCGUG
RNAcentral lists this ribosomal RNA (492 nucleotides) under uncultured bacterium. RNAcentral describes it as "partial 16S ribosomal RNA". It matches the Rfam family "Bacterial small subunit ribosomal RNA", at positions 29 to 507 of the family's 1533-position model. The record is from RNAcentral.